AAUCUUCUUCCUUCCCUUGUUUAGACUAGGUCCUCUUAAGGAUGAGAAGUCUAUUUUAGGACAAGGGAUUAGGAAGAUCAUUAGGAAAGAUCAAAAGAAAAAAGAAGUCAGAAAGAAGUGCGAGAGAUAGGCAUUAGGAAUAACACUUAUUGAAGUGUGUUCUUGCCAAGAAAGAUUGAUCGAAUUCUUCAUAGAAGAAUUGAUCAAUAGGAACCAACAUGUGAAGAGCUAGUGUCUUGACUCUGUUCCUAUGUAGAUCAAUAUUGGAGGGCAAAUACUUGGGUGUCUAGUGGAAAGAUAGAAUACUGGCUUCUUCCUAUCUACAUCAGCUUAAGAUAUGAUGUUUAUCUUCACCAUGCUUAUUAUUUACAUCAUUGAAUGUCAUCAAGGGGUUCUUGGGUUUAGGGUUUGACUAAUUAAAGAUUUCAUUAUACUAAAAAUUUUGAAGUUCAUACUUUCAUUGUGCUCAUCAAACCCUACAGUAGUUUCAGAGCUUUAUUUUAGUUCAAUCAUAUGAUCAUAUGCUUGUAUUUUUGAAUUAAGCAUGUUAUGAAUUCAUAUAAUUUGAUAUGAUUUGAUUCAUAUGUAAUAUGUGUAGUAAAGGAUUGAAUUCUUAGUAGCCAAAUAUUUUUUUGAGAACCAUAGUAAAGUUCAUCUUGCCAUAGAGGACUAUGGUGCAAGGGGUGCCUGUAUGAAUCAAGAAAAAGAAUUAUGAAAAGAUGAUA
This 725-nucleotide long non-coding RNA is filed under the name Elaeis guineensis (African oil palm). Its description in RNAcentral is "long non-coding RNA (EGUI_LNC029546)". The record is from RNAcentral. Lineage: Eukaryota; Viridiplantae; Streptophyta; Magnoliopsida; Arecales; Arecaceae.